AUAAAGUAAGUAUUACACACUCAUGUAAUAAUCCUCAAGCUAGGUCAUUAACUUUUGAUUACAAAAUGUUUAUUACUGAUGAUAUGUGAUUCAGUAAGAAAUCAACUCAUCUUCUCACUUGCUGGCAAAGACUAAGUUUGAAAGUUUUUUAAAAAAUCAUCUUACGCUUUAGUUAUUCCAAAACGAAUCUACUCCAUUUACAAUAUAAACCCUGCUGUCAAGUUUUACAAAGUUCAUUUUGGCAGAGCUACACUUUAAAAUGUAAAGCUCUGUUUUCUUCUUGCA
Molecule: non-coding RNA, 285 nt
Organism: Tinamus guttatus (white-throated tinamou)
Lineage: Eukaryota; Metazoa; Chordata; Aves; Tinamiformes; Tinamidae
Source: RefSeq, a predicted model, not a curated record